This is a long non-coding RNA of Mytilus californianus (California mussel), 2111 nucleotides long. RefSeq lists it as uncharacterized. NCBI's taxonomy places the organism in Eukaryota, Metazoa, Mollusca, Bivalvia, Mytilida, Mytilidae. The record is from RefSeq and is a predicted model, not a curated record. The transcript is spliced from 3 exons.
GAAAACGAAAGUAAUUUUAAUGUGCGUCGGUUGAUAAAAAACAAAAGCCACAGUUUUGUUUUAAAACAAACUGAAAAGAAAGACGUUACUCGUUGCAGCAUCAUGAUGAAAAUGAAAAGAAAUAAAGAAAAAUCAGAGAACAAUUGAAGGUCUUUCCACAUCAAUUUUCAAAGUUAUUGAAAAGAAAAUGACGGACAGUAAAUUAUGUGCUGGUUGUCAGCGUGGUGAUGAAGAUAUAAAAGCCAUAUCAUGGUGCAGUGAUUGCAGUGAACCUGUAUGUAAGGCGUGUUCCAGAGUUCACGACAGAUUGGUCCCGCCUCACAAGGUAGUACUGUUCCAAUGCAAGAGAUUCAACACCUCAGUUCUUCAAUCCUUACAUUGUCCAAGAACUGCCAGAAUCAUCCAGAUCAAGCGAUUUCACUGUACUUCUGUCAACAUGACAAGGUAGUCUGCGUUUCAUGUGUUCCGGUAUCACAUCAGAAUUGCAAGCCUCUAAUUUCAAUUAAAAAAGCUGCUCGAGGCGUGAAAAAUGGCAGCGCUAUUUAUGAUCUAGAAAGAAGGAUUUAAAACUUAUGUCAAGUUACAGAGAACAUACGGAGUCAAAGUGAGACAACACUUGUAGAUUUGAAAAAAAAAUCGAAAUUAAAAUCAAGAAAAGGGUCUCGGAAAUCAAGAAAAAAGUAAUUGCUCAUUUAGAUACGUUAGAAACAGAGAUACAUAAAGACAUUGAUUCUAAGUAUAAAACAUGUACUGCGAUGGCGUUCCAAAACAAAAAAUAGCAUCAAAUCCAGAUCAGAGUCGCUGUUUACAUGGAAAAGUGAUCUAAGAUCACUGAAACAACAUAUAUCAGAAAUCCAUUUAUUCAGAGUGGUAAAAUUUCUAGAUGCAAAAACUCACCGGAAAAAAAUGGAAAUCAGAGAAAUCCAAACAGCUAAUGUUCCGAUACUUAAAUAUCAUCCAUCAGAAUCUGAGUCGAACAUUCAGAAAUUAGUCCAAGAUUAGGUACAAUAACGAUAGAAAAUGCUGAAGUCCAAAUGUCUGUACUAGAUAUCGACCAACAAGGUCAAUUUCUCGUUAGGAACGACACAUUCAUUCCAGACCACGAAAUUAGAUAAUGAAGUGAGUAUCUAUAGAGGUUGCUUUAUUGCUGUUGGUGAUGCAGGUAUCUAGGUCAUCGACCUGAUAUCAUUGACGCCUGGUACGAGAAUUGAUGUUGAAGGAUUCUGUAGUGGAAUCACAUUUGUUAAGGACAAGAUCUAGGUAGGAAAUCAAGAUCACACUAUAACUAUUAUAGAUAUCAAUGGUGAAGUUCUAAAUAUAAAACAAACAACAUUUUGUCCUUAUAAAAUCUGUGCCAAUCAGGACGGUGAUGUCUAUUGUACAGACAACAAUAGUAAUAACGUAUACGUUGUUACAUAGGAUGGAAAAGAACGUGAGAUAUACAACAGUUCUGGCCUGAAUGCUGCUAUUGGUGUAGCUGUAGAUGACCGUGGUGAUGUGUACGUAGCAGGAUAUGAAUCAAACAACAUACAUAGAAUAUCUGAUGAUGGAAAGACACAUGGCAUUGUCUUGACAGCAGAAGAUGGUAUCAAUGAACCGACCUGUUUAUCUUACAACAAUGAAACAAAAGAACUGUUAGUCUUAAAUGACUAUUCAAAAUCUAUCAAUAUCUAUAAAACACAAUAAACACCGGUUUAGGAACACUGACUCGUAGCAUCGAUAAUAAGCCCAAAAGAUAAAACAAAAGUUUAUAUCUUAGUGAAAAAUAAAUUAAUAACCGGGUUUUCAAAUAUUGCUUUAAACUUUUUAUCAGAUUUACCUUUUACUGACAAACUGAACCAUACGGAAAGUAAUCCAAUAACUAUUCAAAUCUGAAGUGUAAUGAAUGUGACAACGUUUUUUCUUAAAUACGAAGAAUUAAAAAAUCUAGAAAAAAUUUAUUGAUGGACUAGUUGUAAGUAAUUUUCAAACUUGCACACUGAGCAAAAGAAGAGCAUGAGGAUGGGUUUGCAUAUUUCGGUCACACAUUCUAUAUCAGUUCAUGACAGAUCAAAAUUGUGUGUCAGUAAGUUUAUUACAAAACCAAUUAUUAAAGAAAAACUUUAUCUGAA